Molecule: long non-coding RNA, 373 nt
Filed under: Sorghum bicolor (sorghum)
Lineage: Eukaryota; Viridiplantae; Streptophyta; Magnoliopsida; Poales; Poaceae
Description: long non-coding RNA (SBIC_LNC006630)
Source: RNAcentral
UGGUUGGUAUCUUGUACCCCUAAUUCUACUGUCGGACACUUGUCCAUUUUUACCUCUCGUCUCACUUUUUCUUUUCUUUCGAGGUUCCGGGCACUUGUCCCUUUUUAUUUCCUCGUAUCUUCUCUUUUUUUAGAGCACUCAUCUCAUGAGAUAAUGUAGCAAGUGGUAGUAACAAGAUAACUUGAGCAUUAUUUCACAGGGGAAAAACAGAAAUGUUUUUGGCUAUUCUCUCCCGGAUUAGGAGUAGAAUAUUUUUGGGUGGUUCUGGAGAUGGAAAUGGGUGGAUAUAUGUGGAUGCGUACUUCCAGAGUAGAAGCAGCAUGUGUGAGUGAACGUGCAAGUGAAUCUUGAUUUAACCACAUGAUAAGCUCCU